This 441-nucleotide ribosomal RNA is filed under the name uncultured bacterium. RNAcentral describes it as "partial 16S ribosomal RNA". It matches the Rfam family "Bacterial small subunit ribosomal RNA", at positions 339 to 795 of the family's 1533-position model. The record is from RNAcentral.
CUACGGGGUGCUGCAGUCAAGAAUCUUCCUCAAUGGCCGAAAGGCUGAAGGAGCGACGCCGCGUGUAUGAAGAAGCCCUUCGGGGUGUAAAGUACUUUUAUUAGGGACGAAUCAAUGACGGUACCUAAAGAAUAAGGGGCUGCUAACCUCGUGCCAGCAGCAGCGGUAAUACGAGGGCCCCAAGCGUUAUCCGGAUUUAUUGGGCGUAAAGGGUCUGUAGGCUGUUUAUCACAUCUCCUGUUAAAUCCCGAGGCUCAACCUCGGAACAGCGGGAGAGAUGGAUAAGCUAGAGGCCGGAAGAGGCAAGCGGAAUUGCUGGUGUAGGGGUUAUAUCCGUUAAUAUCAGCAGGAACACCAAAUGCGAAGGCAGCUUGCUAGAACGGUCCUGACGCUAAAAGACGAAAGCGUGGGGAGCGAAUGGGAUUAGAUACCCUAGUAGUC